RNAcentral lists this ribosomal RNA (253 nucleotides) under uncultured bacterium. Its description in RNAcentral is "partial 16S ribosomal RNA". It matches the Rfam family "Bacterial small subunit ribosomal RNA", at positions 524 to 776 of the family's 1533-position model. The record is from RNAcentral.
UACGUAGGGGGCGAGCGUUGUCCGGAUUUAUUGGGCGUAAAGAGCGUGUAGGCGGCCAGGUAGGUCGGUUGUGAAAACUGGAGGCUUAACCUUCAGACGUCGACCGAAACCAUCUGGCUAGAGUCCGGAAGAGGAGAGUGGAAUUCCUGGUGUAGCGGUGAAAUGCGCAGAUAUCAGGAAGAACACCCGUGGCGAAGGUGGCUCUCUGGGACGGUACUGACGCUGAGACGCGAAAGCGUGGGGAGCGAACAGG